This is a long non-coding RNA of Dama dama (fallow deer), 8466 nucleotides long. RefSeq lists it as uncharacterized. NCBI's taxonomy places the organism in Eukaryota, Metazoa, Chordata, Mammalia, Artiodactyla, Cervidae. The transcript has 3 exons. The record is from RefSeq and is a predicted model, not a curated record.
UCGGGCUGAGGGGCGGGAAACCCGGUCUCCGGCGCCGAGUGGGGAAGGCGGGAGCUUGGGAUGCGGAGUGCACACCUCGUAGGCCGGGGCCUUUCGAGGCCUAACUGUUCCUCAGGCCGUAAAAACCACAGUCCCAGGCACUUUUCGGGGUGAUAAGAGUCCAAGACGCGACCAGGAUGAGUUCCUAAGGGGCCAACCUUAGACCCGCUUAUGAAUGGACGGUUAGCGUGAAGUCCUGUCAGGCGACCCACGUACGAGAAACUAGAGGCCUUUUGUGACUGCAAGCUCUAUAUGUUGUCCACGGAGGCCACUCUUGCUGGAAUUCACUUACGAACAGUUGCCCCAGGCUGCGAGAUGGGGUCCGAGUGUUGGCCUCAGGCCCAACCCAAAUGUGGCCUCAGAGGGAGCCCCAAAUGCUGACGCUACAAGUCUAGUGAGAUGGAAAACCUCUAACUGAGAAUCUGCUUGUAUCUUAAGUGGAGGUCCCUGUCUUCUCUUUAUUUCCCUUCAGGGUACUUCUAAGCAACUACCUAGAGCUAGAUGUUUUGGGAGAAAGUGAGAAAAAGAGGCAGGUCCUCCUGUCGAGUAAAAUGUUGGUUUCCAUUUUCCCUGAUGUUGAGUACCGGACAUCCCCUUGGGCUCCCAAGUCGUCUACAAGCCUAGAAGGAUCCCCAAGUGUACCUCAGUUUUGCUAGAGAUUUGGAACCUGGGGGUUGAACAACCCUUAAGGGGCACACGAUAACGCUGCCUGGUGAACCAAGUGCAAGAAGCAUGUGUUGGAGUAGAAAUGCCUGAAAGUAGACAGGAAGAGCUCUUGUUUGUCACGGAACUAUGUUAGAUACUAAAGAAGGCUUCCCCACCAUCCAUAUUCAUCUGCUUUGACUGGUGUUUUCUCUCAACCUACAAAGACUGUGGCUUAUUGGUGAGGGCAGUUGGACAACUCAGAGCAACUUAGAGAAAUCCAUCUUGAGCUCCUUCUCUGGAAAUAGCACCCCAGAUAAGUGCCCAAAAGCAAGAAACCCUCAUGGACCUACUUCCUCCCGCUUUCAGCACGUUGAUGCCUGAAGCUGUGCUUGAUACUAAAGGAGGUUUUCCCACAUACGCAUCUUCUGUAUUUUGCAAUUACAACUGUGGACAGUUUUGGCUAAUCCUAGUAGAAUGUCUUCCCUUCUUUUAACAUCUUGGAUGAAUUUGGGGGCACAUUAAUGUGUUAUGGAAGAUGGAUGUUGAAUGUAAGUUUCUUGUUAUUCUUAGCCAAUAUAUGAAAAUUACAGUUAGCCUGAUUGCUAAAAAUGUCAAGGAUUUGUGAUCAGUAUCCUUCUGGAAAAUGUAGUUUUCUUGUUUUCUUACCAUAUAGAUUCUUUGUAGAGUUACCCCAACCAGCCACCUUAAAUACCUGCAUGGGCAACAGAGAGAUCUGUGGAGAGAGUUUGGGUAAAGUCAAUGCUUAUGAACACAGGUAUGGGGUUUAUUUGGGGGGAUGGGAGUAUUCUGGAAUCAGACCAUGUUGAUGGUUAUACUAAAAGCCACUGAAGUGUACACUUUAAAAUGGUGACUUUUUAUGGUGUAUAAGUUACUUCUCAAUUUUUUUUUUUAAAAAAAGGAUUGUUAAAAUCAGUGUACUAAAAAACAUUUUUAAAAAAUCGGUGUAUAUGAGUCGCUGCUACUCAAGAGACCUUAGACACAUGGCCUGUCAGGGCUUGGUAGUAUCAUUCAGCAUGGGAGAGCCCACAGUUUUCAAAAAGCUCCUUGGCACCCUUCUCCCAGCUUUCUCAAUGGCUUCAUCUCCGUAUAUCCAUUCUAGGCGAAUGCCUCCAUGUUGUAAGUCUAUGGAGAUUCUUUUAAGAAGUGAAUACUCAGCAAGUUUGGGAUUCUGGUUGUUGGUAGUUGUACUUUAAAUUGUCUCUGAAUUGAUAACCAUUAUAUAGAACAAGCACACUUUUCCAAUAGCUUCGUAAAAUGAAUUGUGUUUAUUUAGUAAGGUGGGUGGGAGGUAGAAGAGGUUGCUGUUCUGCUAAAAUGAACCGAUUCUGUUCAUCAGGUGUUGUGAUGAUUGUUUUAAUGAUCACAUGGGCAUUUCUGUAAGGAUAGGCCAUGUGUUUCAGGCAUUUAAAAUGAUAUCAAUGGCUAUAAUAUUUUUAGUUCAAAUAAUCACAAUUAACUUUUAAUUUCUUUAUAAAAUCCCUCAACUUUAACCCCUUUUUUCUUUGCCAGUGUAUAGUAUUUGAUGACAGUUUCAAGAGCUGAUGAGGAAGAGAAGAUGGAAAGGAGUCUAGAGACUUAAAAAUCUCAUAGCGUUUUCUGUGAGGUGACCUUUUUCCUGUUGGUGGCUCAAUUUAUUUAGGAGACAAAGAUAUUAAGGUCUGUGAUAGUAUUGUCAUGCCAUAUCUGAACUUACUGAAAUAUUCCCUCCCUUUCCUUAUUGUUUAUAUCUUGGUUUGCUUUUUGUGUUCAUAAGUUGACUCAUUUGUUUCCCAUUAGUAUUUGAAACAUCUUAUGGCCACCAUGAGUCCUAACAGAAUGACUUCUUGUGAGAAGCCGAUGGGUGUUCCCACAUUCCUAUGAAAUUUUGGCCUAUUCACUAAACUACUGCCAUUGAAGAGAGAUAGUUAAUGCUUCAGAAGGAAGAGGUUGAUAAACCCUUGGCGUGGUGUGUUAUGACUUGAAAGUUUUUAAGCAGUGGUUUUUAUAUCUAAGCUUGUGUUCAUUUUGGUAAGAGCAUUACUUUUUUUAUUUUACUUUUACUGCUGAGAAGUGCCAAGCAUCUGGUAGUUCAGGAUUUGUGCUAAGUCAAACAUAACAUAAAUUAGACUUCUCUGGUGGUCCAGUGGUUAAGACUCCAUGUUUCUAAUGAAGUGGGUGUGGAUUCAGUCCCUGGUUGGGGAACUAAGAUUCCAUGUGCUGCAUGGUGAGGCAACAAACAGAACAACAAAAAACCCACAUAAAUUAGAAGCACACACUUGUAUUUUCUUAGUUAAAACCAAAUCAGACAGAUUUUUACUAUUGAACUAAGUACUUUUAUAAUGAAUACACAAGAUGAAUAUUAUAUACCCAGUAGAGUAGGUUGAAGUUAACAUUUCUGUUUUUGCUGUUAUUUUAUGGUAUUGUAAGUAUGGCCUGUCAAAAACUCCAUGACAUGUUUUCAACAGCUUCUAGAGAGUUGCUUAUACUUAUUUAUUACUGCUGUUGUUUUUCCUAUAGCUCAAUGAAGAAAAGCAUAGUUAACAGUCCACAUGGUGUUUAAGUGUAGGGACACUAGGCCCAGACUGUCUUGAGUUGCAAGGCCGGCUCUCCCACUUACUAGCUGUGGGAUUUUGGGCAAGUGACUUUCCUCGUGCGUCAGUUUCCUGACGAUACUGAUAGUACCUGUGCCACGGGUCAUUAUGAGGAUUCAGUUAGUGUGUAUAAAGUGCCUAAAACCAUGCCUGGCACUUAGCACAGUGAAAGUACUCUUCUUACUCAUUAUCUGAACAAUGUCCAGGUUACUGCUUUCAGGAGCAUUGCUGUCUCCUUCAACAGCCUGAGCCUGUGUUGUCUUCAGAGCAUAUUCCUCUCUUCUGUAUCCAUUGGAAUUUCACUUCAGUCGCCGUUCUUACAGCCUUCAUCAGCCUGGUUAUAGCUUACAUGAUGAAUUAGUUCUAAACAGAUCUACUCUUUCAGGGAUACAGACUUUGUUGUACAGAAAACUGUUAAAAAUAACACAUCAGUUCAAGCUUUCUACUAAAAUGCUCAUCAAAUUGGAAGCUUUUCAGGCCAGUUGUGUACAAGAAGACUUUGAAUCAAAACAAGGUGUUAUCUAAUUUAGAGAAGAAUAAACCAGAAUAUUCAAUGGUCCUCACAUAUUCUCCAGAAUCAAUGAUACGAGUCACUGAUUACAUGAACUUGCUUCAAUUUUACCUGUUGCAAGAUCCUUAGGCCAAGGAGAUAGUUAUAGAAAGAGGGAACCAGGGACACCAUCUGGUACUGUUCAUGGUUCUUGUUCAUUCUUGGGGCUGGGGCAGUUCACAGGUGUCAGCUCUUUCCCAGUGAAGAAUGGGCUGAAUUCACUUGCGAUGAGUGACUCCCUACGUUAAAUUUUUGCUUGCUAAAAUGCCUGUUGUAUACACAUACACAUACACAGGACCAUGGGUCCCUGUGUAUGCAUCUGUGUUAGGAUCGUUUCACUAUAUCUCGGAGGUUGCUACUGGCCCUAAGGUCUUUGGCUAAAACCUAGUUAUAGAAUCAAAGCCUGUCUUAAAGAUUUAGACAUACACAGAAAUUUACUAGAUGCUUAUUUUGUUUGCCUGAAGAAUACUCUUUGAACUUGCUUUUUCUGCCAGAAAGAAUGUUCUAAACCAGGAUCACGUCAGAAGAUAGCAUUUUGCCAGAAUUUAUCAGUGCUUUAUCCAGAUAUUUACCAGUUACGAAUUUUAGCUCUAUUUUUUUUUUUUUUUGGCUGCUCUGGGUCUUCACUGUGGCCCACAGGCUCAAUAGUUGCAGCAUGUGGGCCUAGUUUUCCCGUUGGCACGUGGAAUCUUAGUUCCCUGACCAGGGAUUGAGCCUGUGUCCCCUGCUUUGGAAGGUAGAUUCUUAAUCACUGGACCACCAGGGAAGUCCCUGGUGCAGUUUUUUAAAAAACUGUUUUGGUGGGGGGUGGCAAAUCCUACUGGUGUGGUUAUUGUUAUAAUGUUGUAUGGUUUCUGGAUUAUGUUGGGUGUGAAACAGAAUGUGUUUGUAGAUCUUUACACACGUUGAGUCUAGAACUGCUAAUAGUUUACCUAACAUUUUUCAAAAAUGAGGAAAGAUUUCUUUGCAAAUUCUAAGAAAUAUUUAUUGUUACACACACAUACGCACACACACAGAUAAAUAAUUUAGGAUUCUUAAUGUACUGCUUAUCUGCUCUUACAAUAUUCUUGAAAUUAAGGAUUUUAUUCUCAAACUUAAAAAGGAAGAAUCUUUGGUAAGCCAUUAAGUAUGAGCUCUGUGACCAAAUUUCUUUAUAGGAGUUAUAUAUGGUAGAAAAAAAAGUAGCCAGUAAGGUUAAUAUGAAUAUGGACAACAGUAGAUUAUAUUAGUAGAUAAGUGUCAUUGGACACUACACUAAUGAGUUAUUUUUGGGGGCGGGGGGCUUGUUUGUUUUUUCUUUUGUUAGUUUCAGAAUCCUGUCACGUUGUGACUCGGUCUCAACAAGGAAUAUUUAAGAACAGGUUCGUUUCUUGCAUUUUAAGAUUUCUUUUUCCACAAUAAAGUUUGUAUAUUGCCUGAAACAGACAAAAGUCAAAUUUUAUAAGACUAGCUGUAAUAAAGAUGAACAGUGGUGACUUAUUAGGGACAUGGGUACAUCUGUCGUGUUGCCAGAUCUCUGUGGCCCCCGUGGGAGGCUUAGGAGCAGUGACCACUGACUGGCUAGGAGAACAGCCAGGCUCCCAGGAGCAGGGCCAUGACCUCCAGGCUGCGAGGCGUCCAGGGUGGGCUGCUGCUGUUGGCUCAGUCUGUUGUCUCCUUUUUGUUGGGCUCAUAGAUUGCUGUUUAUUGUGCACAUUGGGAGUCCUGAGCCCACCCAGUGUUGCCGCACCAUCUCUUCCUGUUGCUUUUCCAGAGGCCAUCAUUGUCUUGCCUUUUUGUUCAGAUCUGACCAUUCUACAUAUGAAUCCACUCAGACUUUACAUAUCAGAAGCAAGAUGACAUUUUAGGAGUCAUUCGUUUUACAAAAAAGUUUACCACAGUUGACUUUUCACUUAACUGUUCUGACUUAUUAGCAACAUACAUCUUUUGUUUAAUUUUGGAUCAGAUAGAUUCCCUGUCAAGUUGUCAGUAAAAUUGUAGACUUCUUUCCUAACAAGUUUUCUUUAUCUUAAAUGUAAAGUUACAGUAAAGAAAAGUUAUGAUAACCACUAAAAUCAACCAUUAAUACUGGAUGUAUUUUUUUUUUCUGUAUAUAGUUUAGCUAGUUGUCUGGUUAUAUUUAUAUAUUUUUUUCUUUCACUUAAUGUAUCUCUGUUUAUCUUUGCACAUUCUCAGCAACAACUGCAGAGCAAGCCAUCCCACUGGUUGCUUUUCUAGUCUGCUUGUGAGGCUGAAGAUCUUAAAUUUAGCGUUGAGUGUGAGAAACAAGGCCGUGUAGACAUUGCAGGGAAGGUAGCUAGAGAAGUUACUGGUUUCUUAAAUUGCCAGGAGAAACAUCUAAGUUGCCUCUCAGUGUUUCACUGGGUUAGUGCACAGCUGCUGUGGACCACGCUUAUACCACUUGGGAUGCUUUAAUGUUUCUGCUUUUUCUCGGACAAACGUGUCUUGAACACCUGCUGCAAGCUGGCUUUGUGCAAGGGCACAAAGAUGAGCAAACCCGGUUGUAUACAGAGCAGUUGAAAUUCUCUAUGGUGGGGCCAUACCAGUGUCUUCAAACAGUGUGAAGGAAACACAGAGGAGGGGGUGAUUAAUACCCCUGGGCAGGGCAGGAAACACUCCUGCGGAUCUAGACACAGCCCAGAGGGGAUCUGGAGGCAGGAGCAGCAUGACCGAAAGCAUGGAGAUAAAAAGUGAGGGGAGGCUGUGGUGUGUUGCGGAUUACCCACCCUUCAGAUAGAGGGUGGCAACCUGGGGCUCUGUGCCAGACCCACCCAGCUGCCUGCAUGUGUGUGGCGGGUGAGCCGAGAGCAGGUUUUACAUUUUUAAUGGUCGAAAAAGAAUAAUAUCUUGUGACACAUGAAAAUUACAUGAAAUUUAAUUUUCAGUAUCCAUAAAUAAAGCUUUAUUGGAACCCGCACUCAUUGACUUACAUAUCGUCUAUGGUCGCGUUUGCAGUUUAACCCCAGAGUUCAGUAGUUGUGAUGGAGACCAGGCGGUUGCUCUGCAUUCACACAUGUGCUGGGGCUCUGAAUUGCCGUGUGGUGCACUACAAAUCACGGUGACACAGUUACAACGUGACAGUGUUUCUAGCGCCACAGAGUUUUAUUUAUUCUUUAUCACAAGUGCCUAACUGUCAUGUCAAAACGAGAGGAAGAGAAAAAUGGACUUGAAAUGCCAUGUUUUUAGGGCACAGCGGAGUGGGUUUUCUUGUCCCUGAAUUAGUUGGCCGAGCUAUCUGUAAUUAAAAAGCUGUACUGAGAGAGUCCAUCAGCAUUACCAGACUACACAGUUGUCACAAUAUUCCCAACUCAUAGGGAGGCAACAGUCAGAAAAAUUAAAAUUUUAAAGAGACUGUUUUGUUACAGCGGAACUUCUCCACAAAAAUGAAAAUGAGGCUACAACUGAAAAUGAGGCCUCAUUUGUUAACCAGGCAAGGGAAGCCAUACUGAUAUUGAAUUAAUUAAAUUGCAUUUGAUUGCGGGAACUGAAGAAAUAUGUCCAGAGCAUUUGUUUAAAAGAGCGUUAGCUGUUCAGCAAGAACAGUUUCACAAAAUGAUGAGGUCAAUGGGAGCAACAUCAAUAGUAAAUUAAAAACAAGGCAAAUGAUUUUGUGUAGUUUUUCUUGGCUCUUGAUGAGUCAACAAGCUGUUGUUUUAUUCGUGGAGUCAAUGCCAUGUUUGAAGUGAGUGAAGAAGUAGUCUCUUUGAAUAAUCUACUUAAAACAGCUGCAGCUGAGAAUAUUUUCAAAAAAGACAAGAAAAUACUAAUUCAGUACAACCUGAAGUAUAAUCUGUUAAUAUCUGUCACAACAAAUGAUGGUAGGAAUAUGUGCAGAGCAGAAAAUGAUUUAAUCUGUCAUGAGCUAUUGAAAUGCUAGGAUCAGUGAUGAACUUCACUCCCUCUUGUGGGAUUUAACUAUCCUCAGUUCCAUGAAUUUUUAUCAGAAAUAAAGGCUGAAUAUUCUGACAUGCCCUACUACACAACCAUUUGAUAGCUUAGCAGUGGUAAAAUUCUCUUGUAGUUUUUUGAAUUGAGGGCUGAGAUUGAAAUUUUUCUGAAAGAACAACCAUUUUCAGCCACUAUUACUGAACACUGAAUGGCUUUGGAAAUUAGCUUUUGCUGCAGACUUGAUGAUUUUUCUUAAUUCAUUCUAAAAUUACAAGGAAAAACAUCACUUAUAUGCAAACUUUAUAUUGAAACACUGGGCUGGAGGAAGCACAAGCUGGAAUCAAGAUUGCCAGGAGAAAUAUCAAUAACCUCAGAUAUGCAGACGACACCACCCUUAUGGCAGAAAGUGAAGAAGAACUAAAAAGCCUCUUGAUGAAAGAGGAGAAUGAAAAAGUUGACUUAAAGCUCAACAUUCAGAAAACUAAGAUCAUGGCAUCUGGUCCCAUCACUUCAUGGGAAAUAGAUGGGGAGACAGUGGAAACAGUGUCAGACUUUAUUUUUUGGGGCUCCAAAAUCACUGCAGAUGGUGAUUGCAGCCAUGAAAUUAAAAGACGCUUACUCAAAAAUAAAAAAAAGACGCUUACUCCUUGGAAGGAAAGUUAUGACCAAUCUAGAUAGCAUCUUAAAAAGCAGAGGCAUUACUUUGCCAACAAAGGUCCGUCUGGUCAAGGCUAUGGUUUUUCCAGUGGUCAU